GUUUUCUCAAGACGUCCACGCAAUGAAGUCAAACACGUUGGUAAUAAUUCCAACAUCAAAUAUGGGGUAGAGACAUGUAUAAUAAGUUCUAAGGAUGAGGACUGUAGUCGCCAGAAUCACCUGGAUUCAAAUCCAGGUCACGGCCCUGCAGACGCUCUGCAACGCACGUUGUGAAGCAGCGGUCGGAGUGAGCAGAUGUGGUCGGAGUGCUGCCUUCUGGCGUCCUCCUCUCUGACUCUGAUCUACGCCACGUUUCCAGAGGUCCUCCUAGCUGAUGCGCUGGACACCACCAAUCCUGAGGGGUCACGCCAAACCACGACGAGGAGUUGAUGCCCCAGUGGGCAGACGGCUGCUCUCUGGGGAGAUGAUGGAUUACGGAGAAGGAAGACGGG
Long non-coding RNA from Gasterosteus aculeatus aculeatus (three-spined stickleback), 392 nucleotides. The record is from Ensembl. NCBI's taxonomy places the organism in Eukaryota, Metazoa, Chordata, Actinopteri, Perciformes, Gasterosteidae.